Molecule: ribosomal RNA, 434 nt
Filed under: Scolopendra sp. CES091411
Lineage: Eukaryota; Metazoa; Arthropoda; Chilopoda; Scolopendromorpha; Scolopendridae
Description: partial 16S ribosomal RNA
Rfam family: Bacterial large subunit ribosomal RNA
Source: RNAcentral
UAGCCGCAGUAUUAUGACUGUGCAAAGGUAGCAUAAUAAUUAGUCUAUUAAUUGUAGUCUUGUAUGAAUGGUUUGACAAUGGAAUACUUUUUUACUAAUAUGGUUGAAUUUUAAUAAUUAGUGAAAAUGCUAAUAUUUAUCAUAAAGACGAGAAGACCCUAUCGAGUUUAAUAUUUAAGUAUUUGUGAAUUAGUUUAAUUAGAUGUGAUAAUAUUUGGUUGGGGCGAUUUUAUUAAUUGAAACAUUAAAAUUAUAUUGAUUAUUAUUUGAUCCAUUAUUAAUGAUUAAUAGAAUAAAUUACCGUAGGGAUAACAGCGUAAUUUUAUUUGAGAGUUCUUAUUGAUAGUAAAGUUUGCGACCUCGAUGUUGGAUUAAGAUUCCUAUUUGGUGCAGAAGCUUAAUUAGGUAGACUGUUCGUCUAUUAAAAUCUUACA